This 443-nucleotide ribosomal RNA is filed under the name uncultured bacterium. RNAcentral describes it as "partial 16S ribosomal RNA". It matches the Rfam family "Bacterial small subunit ribosomal RNA", at positions 28 to 507 of the family's 1533-position model. The record is from RNAcentral.
GAUGAACGCUGGCGGCAUGCCUAACACAUGCAAGUCGAUCGGUAAGGCUCUUCGGAGUACACGAGAGGCGGACGGCUGAGUAACGCGUAGGAACACACCCUGCAGUGAGGGAUAAGACACCGAAAGGUGUUCUAAUACCGCAUACGGUCUUCGGAUUAAAGCAUUUAUGCGCUGAAGGAGUGGCCUGCGUCAUAUUAGAUAGUUGGUGAGGUAAUGGCUCACCAAGCCGAUGAUGUGUAGCUGGUCUGAGAGGAUGAUCAGCCAGACUGGAACUGAGACACGGUCCAGACUCCUACGGGAGGCAGCAGUGAGGAAUAUUUCACAAUGAGCGAAAGCUUGAUGGAGCAAUGCCGCGUGCAGGAUGAAGGCCCUCGGGUUGUAAACUGCUUUUAUAAGAGAAGAUUAUGACGGUAACUUAUGAAUAAGGGACGGCUAACUACGUG